RNAcentral lists this ribosomal RNA (433 nucleotides) under uncultured bacterium. Its description in RNAcentral is "partial 16S ribosomal RNA". It matches the Rfam family "Bacterial small subunit ribosomal RNA", at positions 29 to 507 of the family's 1533-position model. The record is from RNAcentral.
AACGAACGCUGGCGGCAUGCCUAACACAUGCAAGUCGAACGAGACCUUCGGGUCUAGUGGCGCACGGUUGCGUAACGCGUGGGAACCUACCCUUAGGUUCGGAAUAACUCCCCGAAAGGGGUGCUAAUACCGGAUAAUGUCUUCGGACCAAAGAUUUAUCGCCUUUGGAUGGGCCCGCGUUGGAUUAGCUAGUUGGUAGGGUAAAAGCCUACCAAGGCGACGAUCCAUAGCUGGUCUGAGAGGAUGAUCAGCCACACUGGGACUGAGACACGGCCCAGACUCCUACGGGAGGCAGCAGUGGGGAAUAUUGGAAAAUGGGGGAAAGCCUGAUCCAGCAAGGCCGCGUGAGUGAUGAAGGCCUUAGGGUUGUAAAGCUCUUUUACCCGGGAUGAUAAUGACAGUACCGGGAGAAUAAGCUCCGGCUAACUCCGUG